This 1139-nucleotide ribosomal RNA is filed under the name Listeria monocytogenes. RNAcentral's name for it is "partial 23S ribosomal RNA". It matches the Rfam family "Bacterial large subunit ribosomal RNA", at positions 390 to 1529 of the family's 2925-position model. Lineage: Bacteria; Bacillati; Bacillota; Bacilli; Caryophanales; Listeriaceae. The record is from RNAcentral.
UUCCCUCCAGAGUGGAUCCUGAGUACGGCGGAACACGUGAAAUUCCGUCGGAAUCCGGGAGGACCAUCUCCCAAGGCUAAAUACUCCCUAGUGACCGAUAGUGAACCAGUACCGUGAGGGAAAGGUGAAAAGCACCCCGGAAGGGGAGUGAAACAGUUCCUGAAACCGUGUGCCUACAAGUAGUUAGAGCCCGUUAAUGGGUGAUAGCGUGCCUUUUGUAGAAUGAACCGGCGAGUUACGAUUUGUUGCAAGGUUAAGCGGAAAAAGCGGAGCCGUAGCGAAAGCGAGUCUGAAUAGGGCGCAUAAGUAACAGGUCGUAGACCCGAAACCAGGUGAUCUACCCAUGUCCAGGAUGAAGGUAAGGUAAUACUUACUGGAGGUCCGAACCCACGCACGUUGAAAAGUGCGGGGAUGAGGUGUGGGUAGCGGAGAAAUUCCAAUCGAACUUGGAGAUAGCUGGUUCUCUCCGAAAUAGCUUUAGGGCUAGCCUCGAGGUAAAGAGUCAUGGAGGUAGAGCACUGUUUGGACUAGGGGCCCUUCUCGGGUUACCGAAUUCAGAUAAACUCCGAAUGCCAUGUACUUAUACUCGGGAGUCAGACUGCGAGUGAUAAGAUCCGUAGUCGAAAGGGAAACAGCCCAGACCACCAGUUAAGGUCCCCAAAUAUAUGUUAAGUGGAAAAGGAUGUGGGGUUGCUUAGACAACCAGGAUGUUGGCUUAGAAGCAGCCACCAUUGAAAGAGUGCGUAAUAGCUCACUGGUCGAGUGACCCCGCGCCGAAAAUGUACCGGGGCUAAACAUAUUACCGAAACUGUGGAUGAACCUCUUUAGAGGUUCGUGGUAGGAGAGCGUUCUAAGGGCGGUGAAGUCAGACCGGAAGGACUGGUGGAGCGCUUAGAAGUGAGAAUGCCGGUAUGAGUAGCGAAAGAAGGGUGAGAAUCCCUUCCACCGAAUAUCUAAGGUUUCCUGAGGAAGGCUCGUCCGCUCAGGGUUAGUCGGGACCUAAGCCGAGGCCGAUAGGCGUAGGCGAUGGACAACAGGUAGAGAUUCCUGUACCAGUGCUAAUUGUUUAACCGAUGGGGUGACACAGAAGGAUAGGGAAUCGCACGAAUGGAAAUGUGCGUCCAAGCAGUGAGUGUGAG